Molecule: RNA transcript, 1437 nt
Organism: Oncorhynchus tshawytscha (Chinook salmon)
Lineage: Eukaryota; Metazoa; Chordata; Actinopteri; Salmoniformes; Salmonidae
Gene name: heparan-alpha-glucosaminide N-acetyltransferase-like
Exons: 13
Source: RefSeq, a predicted model, not a curated record
AUCAUGGUGGCCUUUCUGUUGUUCACGGGACUGGCUAUACUGUCUGCUAUUGGAGCUACUGUCAUGGGGCUGGACGCGGUGAAGAAUCUGAUGUUCCGAUUGGGCAACUCCAUGGAAACUGAGAGGCUCAUCAACUCAGACCUGGGGUUUCCAUGCAGGACGGUGGAGACGGCCACAGACACCAUCCUCCCGGCCCCGCCACCCCCAGCCGGAGGCUCCGAUCCCUGGACACCUUCAGAGGGCUGUCCCUGGUCAUCAUGGUGUUUGUGAACUACGGAGGAGGGAGGUACUGGUUCUUCAGACACGAGAGCUGGAACGGGCUCACAGUUGCUGAUUUGGUCUUUCCCUGGUUUGUUUUCAUCAUGGGCACAUCUAUAUCCCUGUCUGUCAGCUCAGCCCUGCGAUGUGGUUUGUCACGUUUCUCUCUGUUCACCAAGGCAGUCUGGAGGAGUGUUCAGCUCUUCCUCAUAGGACUCCUCAUCAUCAACCCCAACUACUGCCAGGGACCACUAUCAUGGGACUCCCUGCGUAUCCCUGGCGUGCUUCAGCGUCUGGCCUUCUCCUAUCUCGUGGUGGUCUCUCUGGACCUCUGUGUGGCCUGGAACAGCCUGGACAACCUUCCUGUGGAUGCUUGGUGGUACUCUGCUCGUGAGUUCCUGCUCUACUGGCCAGCCUGGCUGUGUGUGGUCGUCUUGGAAACCGUGUGGCUCUGUCUCACCUUCCUGCUCCCUGUUCCUGACUGCCCAAGUGGUUAUUUGGGCCCAGGUGGUAUUGGGGACAUGGGCCAGUACCCAAACUGCACUGGGGGAGCAGCUGGAUAUGUAGACCGUUGGCUACUGGGAGAGAACCACAUCUACCAAACACCUUCCUCACGGGUGAUCUACAAGUCUCACCUGCCCUUUGACCCAGAGGGAGUCCUUGGCAGCAUCAACUCUGUCCUCAUGGCUUUCCUGGGACUACAGGCAGGAAAGAUUCUCCUCCACUACAAGGACCAGCAUUCCAGUAUAAUGGCCCGGUUCCUCAUAUGGAGCCUGGUUCUGGGAAUCAUAUCAGCCGUUCUGACCAAAUGUUCACUUAAUGAAGGCUUUAUCCCCAUCAACAAGAAUCUAUGUUACCAUGGAAUAGUGAUACUGGAAUCAUCCGUGUUAAUAGUGUGGAAUAAUCGACCUCUGAGUUGUCUGUCAGGUCUCUCUCCUACGUGACCACCCUGGCGUGUUUUGCCUUGCUGCUCCUGGUGUUGAUCUACUACACAGUAGAUGUGAAGAGGUGGUGGUCUGGGGCGCCCUUCUACUACCCCGGUAUGAACUCCAUCCUGGUGUACGUGGGCCACGAGGUCCUGGAGGAGUACUUCCCGUUCCGCUGGCGCAUGGCCGACAGCCAAUCCCACGCAGAGCACCUGACCCAGAACCUAUUGGCCACUUCCUGCUGGGUCCUCAU